GUACGGAAGGCAGCAGUGAGGAAUUUUGGGCAAUGGGCGAAAGCCUGACCCAGCAACGCCGCGUGAGGGAUGAAGGCCUUCGGGUUGUAAACCUCUUUUCUCAGGGACGAUGAUGACGGUACCUGAGGAAUAAGCCACGGCUAACUACGUGCCAGCAGCCGCGGUAAUACGUAGGUGGCGAGCGUUGUCCGGAUUUACUGGGCGUAAAGAGCGCGCAGGCGGUCGUUCAAGUCGAAUGUGAAAGCCCCCGGCUCAACUGGGGAGGGUCAUUCGAUACUGAUCGACUCGAAGGCAGGAGAGGGAAGCGGAAUUCCCGGUGUAGUGGUGAAAUGCGUAGAUAUCGGGAGGAACACCAGUGGCGAAGGCGGCUUCCUGGCCUGUUCUUGACGCUGAGGCGCGAAAGCUAGGGGAGCAAACGGGAUUAGAUACCCCAGUAC
Molecule: ribosomal RNA, 437 nt
Filed under: uncultured bacterium
Lineage: Bacteria
Description: bacterial SSU rRNA
Rfam family: Bacterial small subunit ribosomal RNA
Source: RNAcentral